RNAcentral lists this long non-coding RNA (1934 nucleotides) under Mus musculus (house mouse). RNAcentral describes it as "predicted gene, 56588". Lineage: Eukaryota; Metazoa; Chordata; Mammalia; Rodentia; Muridae. The record is from RNAcentral.
GAGGCUUGAUCUAUGCGCAUGCGCGCUGCUCGGGUCCGAGCCAGUCCACGCGGGCGCGCCGGAAGUGGCCAGGCGACUCCGUUGGGAUCCUGCGCUCGGACGCUGUUCCAAGGACGCUCUUCUGCUGGCCUCAGGAGGUGACUAGUGCCACAGCUCAGCUGACCCGGCACUCCGGUUUGCACCAGCCAAAUCCAGCGGCCGACACUGUAUCUCACCUCCGGGCAGCUCCUAAAUGCCGGUCCUUGGGUGAGCGGAUUGGCCGACGCCGCCCUGCACUUCUGGCUGUACUUCUGCAUUUCCAACCCUCUGUAGCCUCCAGAGCGGCUGCUGUCUAAAACCAGAAGCCAGCUACCCUCUCGGAAGGAGAUGCCCGAUGCCUCGCGCGCGCUCUCUGCUUCGGCCUUCGCAUUUUCACCACGAGUUUUCUAAAAUUCAAAGAGAGCGAAGAGAAAAUUAGUAUCCGGACCAGCUUGGGGACUGCUGGCUCGCCUAGGCUUUCGAGAGAUUACAAGCGUUAUCGCUGCUGUGAUUUGUACUCAAGAGACUUCACAGUCAGAGCUCAGGUCCUCAAUUCAGUAAUUGGCAACUGUAGUUUAUCUUUCAGAGAUUCUGCAUCUCUACUUCUGGUUCCCCUUCUAAACUCUGAUUUUUGCCAAGAGCAAAACUUUUGGUUGUGUAAGGUGACUGGCCUGUUCUUUGACAGACAAUGCAAAAGAGAUGCUUCGCUUACAUUAGCUAAUUAAUCUUAAGAAUAAUUCCACAAGGGCUGGAGAGAUGGCUCAGCCGUUAAAGGCUAGUCUCACAACCAAAAAUAUAAGAAUAAUUCUACAAAGUACAGUGUGUAUUUUCACUUUUAUACGUUGGACACUGUCACAGAUAAAAUGGGGCCGUCGUCUUUUUGGAACCUCAAUUCAGAAGCAGUGGCUUGUGCAUACAAAUUAGGGGCAAAAGUAUAUAGUACAAUGUAAGGACAAAUAAGAGUUAUUUUAAAUGAACAAAACAACAUUUUAAAGUAUAUGCAAAUCAGUUCACAAAAUAGCAUGUCUACCACAUUUUAUUGAUGUUCAAACUUAAUAUAGCAGAAACAGUGUAUUCUCCAUAAAUCUGUUUUACCAAUUUGCUUAAUUUAUAGAUGAAUUCAUUGGUGAGAAUAGUGUGGAUACUCUCAUAUCCUGGUGUGGAUAUAAGUUAACACAAAUUCACAUAUAAAGUAGGACUUUUGAAAGAACCUGCUUAGUAGCCAGGUACAGUAGCCCAAAUUCCCUCCCCAGGAACACCUGUAAGGAGAAGCAAGGUAAAGACAGAACUUCCAGAAGGAAAGACAGAAACCAAUGGGGACCUGAGAGGGAGAGCAGUCUGUCUGUCUUUCUUGCCUCACUCCUAUUCUUGAAGUAUGUUCUUGAUAUUGAAACUAUGAAUCCAGUCCCCUAUUUCCUCCUUCUUUUUUCACUACCUGAAUUUGAAUUCUAGUUCUGCCACUCAUUAGCUUUGUUACUGAAAGCUAGACACUCUCUUAGUAAGAGUAUGAUACGAAUAAUGUGUAACCUGAGAUAUCCACAUAGCACAAUUGAAUCACUGAUGAUCCUAUUGGCUCAGUCCUUUUCAUGAAUUGUUGGAUUCUAUUCAUGUUGGUAUGUUUUAUGGUUUGUGUAUGCUCAGCUCAGGGAGUGGCACGAUUAGAAAGUUUGGCCCUAUUGGAGUAGGUGUGGCCUUGCUGGAGUAGGUGUGUCAAUGUGAGUGUGGGCAUUUAACAUCCUCAAUCUAGCUGCCUAGAAGUCAGUCUUCCACUAGCAGCCUUCAGAUGAAGAUGUAGAACUCUCAGCUCCGCCUGCAUCACUUCUGCCUAGAUGCUGCCAUGUCCCUGCCUUAAUGUUAAUGGACUGAAUCUCUGAACCUGUAAGCCAGCCCCAAUUAAAUGUUGUCUCUAUAAGAGU